GACGAACGCUGGCGGCGUGCUUAACACAUGCAAGUCGAACGGAAAGGCCCUGCUUUUGUGGGGUGCUCGAGUGGCGAACGGGUGAGUAACACGUGAGUAACCUGCCCUGGGCUUUGGGAUAACUUCAGGAAACUGGGGCUAAUACCGGAUAGGAGCUCCUGCUGCAUGGGGGGGGUUGGAAAGUUUCGGCGGUUGGGGAUGGACUCGCGGCUUAUCAGCUUGUUGGGGGGGUAGUGGCUUACGAAGGCUUUGACGGGUAGCCGGCCUGGGAGGGUGACCGGCCACAUUGGGACUGAGAUACGGCCCAGACUCCUACGGGAGGCAGCAGUGGGGAAUAUUGCACAAUGGGCGGAAGCCUGAUGCAGCAACGCCGCGUGCGGGAUGACGGCCUUCGGGUUGUAAACCGCUUUCGCCUGUGACGAAGCGUGAGUGACGGUAAUGGGUAAAGAAGCACCGGCUAACUACGUG
This 468-nucleotide ribosomal RNA is filed under the name uncultured bacterium. Its description in RNAcentral is "partial 16S ribosomal RNA". It matches the Rfam family "Bacterial small subunit ribosomal RNA", at positions 28 to 507 of the family's 1533-position model. The record is from RNAcentral.